GGAGAGGGUUGGAAGGGAAAUGGUCUGCACGCCUCCUCUGGGAAGAACCCCAAUGCUGGUGAGGGAUGUCAUCCAGGAACUACACAGCCCUGCACAGAGGCCCCAACACCCAUUUGGCAGCAGCCAAAGGCCAGGCUGGGCAGUUUCUGGCCCUGACGAGGCUCAGCAUCAUGACCGCCCUGCAGAUGACUGAGAGGCACAGGAAACGGCGCAGAGGAACUCCAGCUCAUCAUGUUCCUCUUUCCAUAAGAACGGUGACCAUUCCUGUGUCCGCCACUGCCCCAAUCCCGCACAGCUGAGUCCUUUUCAUGCCACCCGCGGCACCGUCACAAAACAAUCACCAACCUGACCGAAGACCUACGGCCCAUCGGACACCGAUGACCCCAAAGCCGGCAAGAAUUCUACCUGAGCCUGGGGUCUCCUGAGGACACAGGUCAGAAUGUCCACCGCAAUGCAGUGUGACACGUACAGCCCACCAGCUUGAGAAUGGAGACAGUGGAGCCCACUGAGGCAGGGAGCUGAGUACCCCGUGAGGAAGGGGUCAAAACCCACCAAGUGAGGCAGGGGUACCGAGGGGCCUUCCCAGAAGUGAGACAGAACUAAGUCGGGUCAACCAAGGCCUUCCUGAGAGAGAGCCACAAAUCCAAAGCAGGCCCACAGGGGGAGUCCUCCAGGGCUCAAGGACUGGAGGGGUACUUAAGUAGCAGUAGAAUCAGUACUGCUGCUCAAGUACUAGGUGGAGACAAGAGUCAGCACACUGGCCUGUGGGCCAAAUGUGUUUGCUGUCUGCUUUCAUAAAGUUUUAUUGGCACCCAGCCAGGCUCACUUGUUUACACAUUGUUCCUGUUUUCACACUCCAACAAGAGCUGAGUAGUUGUGACAAAGACCAUAUGCCUGGCAAAGCUAGAAAUAUUUGCACUCUCUUUCCAGAAGGAAAAAAAAAAAAAAAAAACUCUGCGGCUUGGACAUCUGAGGGGAUGGCGCCAGCGCUCAGAAUACAGAACCAUAGAGGAAAACCAGAUGUCAGGGCAAAGUCAGGAGCGGGGCCAUACACGUGGUGUGGGGCUGAGGAGCCUCCAUGGGGGAACGCUCUGCAGGCGGUGCUUAGGAGAGGCCUAGGGGCCACACCAGAAGCUCUGGAAACCACGGCCCGGGAAUCGGCGUGGCAAGACACGGGUCCGAAAAGAAGGAAAAGAGGACACAGUAGACAGAAUGGGGCGGGGGAGGGGGUAGGCAGAGGAACACAAACCAACCAGCCAUGCUGUCCCUUCAUCCCUGAGGGAAGCGGGGAUGGCAGUGUCUGAUGUCGGGCAGUGGGGAAGAGCCACAUGCUAAGAUGGAGGCUGUGGGGGUCAAAGGGUAAGAGAACCAUGGAGGAUGGAGAGGGGCCGACGAGGAGGAGGUGAAGUGGGCCAGACCGGCCUGGGAGAAGUGGGGGCCACAGGAAAGGGCGGAGCUGUGACGAAGCUGCAGGCCUGUGGCAGAACCCCAGUGCCAGAGCAGACCCUGGGGACCGGGCCAGGAGCACACCGUGAGCUCAGCUGCUCAAAGGCAGCAGGGUGGCUCAGCCCACGGCACGUGAGCCACCUGGUUCCAGGAUGGCCGGUGCCUGGCUCUAGCCUCAAGUGCUCACGGCCCUUUCACAAUGUUUUCCAUUUCCAUGGCCGCCUUUUCCAGUGUUAAGAACCUCGUGAUGGCAUCAUUACUGUGCAGGAAUGAGAAGCCAAAAUAACCCCAGUGCGGCGCCCUGCCCUAAGCUCCACCAGAGCCCGUGGAGCGGCAGAGUCCCCCAGGGCCCUGCGGCCCAGCCAGCAAGUAAGACCCAGGUGACCCUGGCACCUGGCAGCCCCAGCCUCCUGUCCGUGGGGCGGAGUCAAAGGAAGUCUGAUGCAAAGAUGAUGAGGGAGGGUGGCGUCUGGUGGGGCCUGGGCACCUGUCCCAGAACCUGUUCCACACCUAGAAAACAAGAGAAGCGCCGGGCGGUGGUGGCGCAUGCCUUUAAUCCCAGCACUGGGGAGGCAGAGGCAGGUGACUCUCUGUGAGUUCAAGGCCAGCCUGGUCUACUCUACAGAGUGAGUUCCAGGACAGGCUCCAAAAGCAGAGCCAGGGUCCUGGUAGCCACUUGGGCAGCCCUGAGAAGUCGCUGGAGUCCUGAGUGGCAGAAGCAGAAUUCUGAAGUUGGUGGGUGGUAGGCAGCAGUGAGACCUGGGGGGGCUAGGACUUUGGACUGGUCAUUUCAAGGUCCCCGUCUAAAAUCCGCAGGGGUGGGAGCAGGCAGGGCGAAGAACGUGCCUCCAUAUUCCCAACGCGCCAUCAGACAUGUCACCAAAACUCCCUGGAGCCUUGUUUCCUAGGUGGUGAACUGGGACUAAGUGGCUCAUUAGCACAAAGCACUUAGAACAAUGCCUGGCCCCCAGGAAGUGCUCAGUGUAUCCUAAGUCUGCAGAGUGUGCCCGAGGGAGACCUCAACAAGGUGUGGCCUGGUCUUCCCGUAGGCUUCCAGGGUGGCCACGGAGUUAUACACUGAGUUCCCUCGGACAGCCUACUGUCAGCGGAACACCUUCAGGUCCCUCAGCCAGGCUGCAGGAGCUCUCUUGAGACAUGAACAGAAGACUCCUAUUCAAGUUACAUCCUCCAGGACUCUCCUGACCCCCUCCACCACCUCGCCCUGACAUAUAUGCUCAUAGGGGGCCAGGUGAAGACGGUCCCGGGUCCUGGCAGCCUGUCCACUGUGUAAGCAGGUACACAGAACCCAGGUUUAAGAAGGUCACAGCACCAAGUUAAUUGUGCUAGCCUAGUGCUGCAACCCCAGCUGCCUCAGUCCACUCAGUUAAACCCUCUGUCCUUCUCCGGCCACCUCACAGCUCUGGGGACACAGCAAAAGUCCCCUUAGAAUCCCAUGGACACCGGAGUCCAACCCAGCCCUGGAAAGAGCUGUAUGUCCCUGAUCACAUCGUGAUACCCCCCCCCCCCACUUUAAACACUGCCUCCUCCUAGCUGGGUCUGGACCCUCAGCGGUCAGCGUGACUACAGCAGCAGGGACACAAGAUGACGGUGGCUCUGGAGACCAAAACACAAGAGCCUCAGAAAUCCCUUCUCAGUGGACGCAGCUGGUUUCUUCUGGGAUGGGAUGGUUGGAGAUGUUCGUUUGUCCUUUCUUUUCUUCCUUUUCCUUUUGUAGUAUGUAUUUCUAUAACAAUGUUGAAGAAUGAUACAGAAGGUCCGAAGGCAGAUGGUCAUAAAUAAAUACCCAUCUUUUGUUUCUGUUUUUGGAGACAGGGUUUCUCUACAUAGCUCUGGCUGUCCUUGAACUCUGUAGACCAGGCUGGCCUCGAACUCACAGCGAUCCACCUGCCUCUGCCUCCCAAGCGUUGAGAUCAAAGGCGUGUGCCACCACCGCCCAGCCUAUGAAUACCAAUCUUAAAGAUAAGGAAAGGGCUGUGGCUGUAAAUGAAGGCCAUUAAUUUACUUGUGUGUAUGUGGAGAUCUCAGCCUCAAAGGGCCUGCUGCCCCUGGCUUGCUCAGCCAUGUUUCUUGUACAGCCAGCCAGGGCCCAUCUGCCCAGGAUGGCACCACCCAGAGUUGGCUGGGCCCUCCCAUGUCAGCAUUCAAGAAUGCCCUGCGUACCCCACAGCUGGGCGUGGUACCGCACGCCUUUGAACCCAGAACUCAGGGACAGAGGCAGGCAGAUCUCUGUGAGUUUGAGGCCAGCUUGGUCUGCAUAGUUAGUUCCAGAAGAGCAAGGCUAUAUAGAAAAGAGACCCGUCUUAAAAAAAAAAAGAAAAAAGAAAGAAAGAAAGAAAGAAAAAGAAGAGGAGGAGGAGGAGGAGAAAGAAAGGAAGAAAGAGAGAGAGAGAGAGAGAGAGAGAGAGAGAACACGGAUAUGCCCACAAACCAAUGUUGAAAGCAAUUCCUCAACUGAGAUCCCUCUUCUCGGGUAUGACCAGGUUUGUAUCGAGUUGAGAAAAACCAUGACACAGAGUCUCUGUAAUUGUGAGCUGUGUUUGUCAGGAACUCACCGGGGGAAGGGGGCUCUGCAACAAUUCACUGUUAGUUAUUCUUUCGUUUCCACGAAUCUCUUCAUUUUCAAAAUGGUUUUUUAAUAUGAUCUUCAAGACUCCAUAAAAACGAUCCUCUCAUGUCAUUAAACUGGGUAUUUUGAAUUCUAAUGCUGUGAGUCACAACCAUUGGAUGUCCUCACAGACAGACACCGAUUCAUGAAUUGGAUCUAUGCAGCAAACACACAUCAAUUGAAUAAUGGAACAUAGAACUGAAUAAUAAUCCUCGUCAUUACAUAAAUGUUUAUGAACAACUUCAGACUCUGGGUCCCUUCUGUCUCUCCUCUAGAGGCACCUGUGGGCACUGAGCAGCCAUACUUCCCAGGAUGGCUUUCUCACACUUCCGUGUCCCGAAGUGGCAUGUGGUAUUUCAACUUUAGUUGGCCAGCAGAGAGAGAAUUUCUCUGGAGGACAGGACUGAGGAAAUGUUACUUCUUUGAUAAUUUAUUUAUUUCACGUGCAUUUGUGUUUUGCUUACAUGUGUGUAUGUGUGAAGGUAUCAGUUCCCCUGGAACUGGAGUUACAGGCAGUGGUGAGCUGCCAUGUGGGUGCUGGGAAUUGAACCCUGGUCUCCUAGAAGAGCAGCCAGUGUGCUCUUAACCGCUGAGCCAUCUCUCUAGUUCCCUGAAGCUACUUUUUAAUCUGAUGGUGUGAACCAGAGAAGCUGUGUCUGCUGGAGGCUGACAGUGAUGACUAGGGCAUCUUUGCUGAAGAGAGAAUGCAUUUUAGAAACAAAAAUAAUCUUGUUUGGGCUGGGGAGAUGGUUCCAUAAAGUGCUGAGUUCAAUCCCCGAAGCUACAUAAAAACGCUGGGUGCGGUGGCACACACUUGUAGGCCCAGCAUGGCAGAGGUCCCUGGUGGCCUACUUGGGAAGUGUCAGCUAAUAAGAGACCCUGCAUCGAAAGAGAUGGACAGCAUUCCAUUCCUAAGGAUAACACCUGAGGUAUAUCCUCUGGCCUCCAUACAAGAGAAUGUGUGUGUGUGUGUGUGUGUGUGUGUGUGUGUGUGUGUGUGUGUGUAUGUAUGAGAGAGAAAGAGACAGACAGACAUACACACACACACACACACACACACACACACACACACGAUUCAAGAGGUCAGAGUUCCCUGACGAGGGGUUAGGCUGCCACGGCCUCUCACCUUGGGCAAGCACCUCCUUUUAGCCUUCCACCUAUACCCUGGGAGCCUAAGAAGACUCUUUCCAUUGUUCAAAGUCUAAAACCUUCCAAAGGAAAACUUCCCCAAAGUCACAAAAGACUUAGCUCUGUCCCCAGGACUGUGGUUGACACAGAUUUUACAGGUCCAGCGUGGCCUGGUGAAAGGGAUGGAGUGCCAUUCAGACAGCAUCAACGUUAGAAGGUCCAUUUGGACCCCCAAACCAAUUGUGGAGGAACGAAAAAGGAGAGGGCCAGCACACUGAUCUUGGAGGGGAAAUGUCUGACGUCCGCCAUGCUGGCAGAUUUGGAAUGACUUUCCAGCAUGGAGUGGCCUCCAAAACAUGCACCUUGGGCCUGGGCCUGCUCCCCAGCUCGCCCUCACUGCCCUUAGCCCACACGCCUCCUACAGCGGGAGGAAAGUGUCAGCAUGCUUAAGUUUCCAGCAGGAAGUGAACAGGAGUGGAAGGAGCUUGAGCUGGGGCUGAGGGGCUGCAAUUCAGCCAGGAAGAGAGGGGGCUUUCCAGGAUGGAGAUCACAGAGCACCCCCCUUUUCAAGUCUGAGCAAAGGUGCUGUGUGGAGAAGAGAGUUGCUUUGGGGGCCUCUCAAAGGAAGGUUGAUAAAGAAACAGAUGCUCUCUGAGAGGGGAAGGGAAGGAUAUUUUUGUCACAGUGCAAAGAACGGGCUGGCCAGGUAGUGGGUGAACUCUCAGUCCUGAAGUCUGGUGUCAAGCUGGAGGUGGGAGGCUAGCCCCAAGGGAUGGGGACUAACCAGCCCCUGUCAGUGAGGCCUGGAGCGCUGAGGCCUGGGGCACUGAGACUGUGUUCAGCACUGACAAGACAACAGGUCAUUUGUUUUAAAGUUUCUCCUCAGCUCUGCCCUGAGGGUCAUGUGUGAGGGGAAAAAAAGUCAAGGGCCUGGCCCUAUCUGGGGGAAAGACCAAAGUGUGCAGAGAGAAAGACUUGGAAGUCUGGUAGGCCCUCGGGGCAGAACAGUCAAACCUCUCAGAUUUUCGGGAGAAGCACCCUCCCAGGCUCGUCCUGGGCAGUGUGCAAACACACACUGGAGAGUAGAGGACUGUCAAGGGUGGAGGCGGUGGCGGCAGCGGGAGGGACCGUCCCCGGGUGAAAAGGCAGAGUCCUCACCUCCUGACACCGGCCAGGAUUACAUCCAUAAGCAGGUGCCAGGCUACUCCGAGGGGAUGGCUGUCUGUCAGGACGCCCUCCAGCAAGCUCCGAAGGAACCAGUCAAAUCCUCCUCCUCAGCAGUGAGUCAGUGUGCUGGCUCAGGACUGAGAUGGUAGGAAGAGGCCAGCAUGGUCCCGGGGGCCCCGAGUUGUUAGAGUUGACACUCUGAUGAGGCAUUCAGGAGUUAAUUACAGCAAGGGAGCCAGGAGGGAUUUGGAUAAAUGAACUCUGCUGGUGAGAGGCUGGGAAUCUACAACAGCCUUGCAAGAGAAGAGAGACCGGGUAAGAAAAGAGAGCAAAGGUGGAGGCGGUGUGUGUGUGUGUGUGUGUGUGUGUGUGUGUGUGUGUGUGUGUGUGUGUGUGCGCGCACGUGUGGUACUGUAUGUUGAGUAUACAGUGUCUCUGUGAGAUGGGUGAAGUCUACUUGUCUGAAGGAUGGGUAUGACCACACUUAUGCCCAUAUAUCCCACUAUGUGCUCUGGACUUUUAUACCGGCCUACCCACAUACAGUUCACUAUAAGUGAGCCUGCAACUACUUAGCAAACAUAUCCUGGUCCUGUCUCCAACCUACCCAAAUACCCAAAUUCUUAGAGCUUCUAGGCUGUUCAGAAGCUAGGAGGACACAGAUCCUCCAUGUACCCAUUCUGGUCUGGCCCCCUGGGCAGAGGCGGCUGUGGAAGGCAGGAAGUGAGGUCAGAGCACAAACAGCUCAGCUCCUCCCAAGAAGAGGUCCAAGGCCCAUGGCGGAAAAUCUGGAAACUGCCGGCCACUGUUCACACCAAAUGACGUGGUCCCAAACUCAGCCAUUCAGUGACUGGUCACUGGUCAUCCUUGGGCAUGCAGGAAGGUGAGCAUCAUACCCAGGGAGGACUGGUACCUCGGGGCAGGAAUGUGUUACUUUCUUCAUGGUUGACCAUGCAGGACUUGUGGUCACUAGCGUGAGCCCCUACCAGUCUCUAGGGACAAGGAAGCUGUACAGGCCAAGAUGACUACAGUCUCAGAAGACAGCCUGUUGGGUCCAAAGAUGGCCACGUGUGUGGCACCUGGCGUCCUCACCCAGCCAAUCUGACACAGAGCAGGUGUUCCUCAGAGGUUUGAUGAGUUAAUGAGCCAUAUCAAGUAGGAGACAUGGCCCAAGGGACAAUCUGUCAUCCUCUAGAACAUCUCUAACAGAACUCGCUGAGUCACAGAAGGGCUCUGCAUCGGUGUAUUCAGCCAAUGUGGUAGCCACUAGCCAUGUGCAGGUACUGAGCCCAUGGACAAUGAGCAAUAAAACUGAGUAACUGGGGUAGGGGACAUGGCCCAGUUAGCAGAGUACUUGCCUAGAAUGCACAAAACUCUGAGUUCAAGCCGAGCACCACAUAAGCGGGUAUGGCAAGUCUGAGGUCUCUACAUGAGACCCUGAGGAUUUUAAAAAUCCAACUUGAGGGACUGACUUUUAGUUGAAAUUAGUAACAGUUUAAAUAACUACCCACGGCUAGUAGCUUCUGUAGUAGGCAGAUAGCUUUAAAACACUAUGGAAAACUGAGCCCAGCCUGGCCCCCGUGGUGACAGGAAUGUGGUGGUCGCAUCUACGCGUGGUUGGGGAGAGUGCUGACAGAGUCUGACCUGGCAGACUCACAUCACCUGCUCUGUCACGGUGUCACUGGCCUAAGAAGGCCAGCUCAACGCCAUGCUGGGAAUGAUGGUCCCAAGCAAAUGACACAGAUGUAAUUCCACUUGGACAGGGCGACCCACGGCUUCACUCCCUCCCUGGGCCACCUCCUCAAGAAGGAGUUAACCUCACCACAUGCCUUCCAAACAUGCUCCUGAUUUCCUUUAUGGUGAGUGCGCAGCCACCCCUCCAGCUCUGUGCCCAAGUCAGUUUCUGGCUGAACUGACACCAACAUCUUUCACACUGAGAACAAAGAAUAUUCCUCCAAUGAAGACUGUCCAUCACAGCACAGUUCCCUAUCACCUACCAUCCAUGUGUGUGCACGCACACACCCACACACACACACACAUGCAUAGGCACAUAAAUACACAUGGAAACAGAAACAAACACACAUAUACAUAUACAUUUGUGCACACACUUGGAGAUAAGCACAUGUGUACCCACACCCGCGCAUACACAGAGAAAACACACGCCCACAUACACUGUUACUCUAUGACCCAGAUGGACUCCUUUCUGCCACACUUAUUCACUAGCCUCUCACUUCCUGAAAAGCUCCAGCAGAAUCAUGUUCUUUAUAAAUGUUUAAUAUGUAUGAGUGCCUUGCCUGUAUGUAUGUGCACCACAUGUGUGCAGUACCCAUGCAGGCCAGAAGAGGGCAUCAGAGCCCUUGUAAUUAUAGUUACAGAUGACAGGUGCUGGGAAGGGAACCCAGCCAUUUUCCAAGAACAGUAAGUGCUCCUAACUGCAGAGCCAUCUCUCCAGCCCUAAGAAUCGUGUUUAAAGACCGAUUUCAAACACUUCUGAGUGUUUCCCUAGUCACUUGCUGAUUCCCUCAUCCCUCCCACCUUUCCUGGACCCUCCACCUUUACCCUGAGCCAUGCACCUCUUCUUAUUUUUUUUGGUGUGUACCUAACCAAAUCACAGGACCAUGUUUAUCCCAGGCAUGACCCCAUCCCGAUUUCAGUUCUUUAUACCUCAGGCCCCGUUCGUUAAUUUGAAUCCAUCACAACAUGUUCCAAGCCAGGCAGGCCAGGACACAACGGGACCCCUGAUUAGAAUGGUAAGGUCAUGGCUGCACCCUUUUGGCUAGCUUCUGCUAAGCCCCAGGGACCCUGGGCCAGAGAGAUGACUGGAGACAGGCCUAAAGCUCACAUAUGGUACUUCUGAGGGGAAACUGUCCUAAGAUCCCAGGAGCUUCAUGGUCAACAGCUUUCGCUGAACCCACCAGCACUCUAGGAGCCCUUGUCCUACCCUCUUAGGCCAGCAGGGCCCGUGCAAACGUGGGUUCCAGCCCUCAGCCCUGCUGGUUGGGUGGUUAAUUCACAGAAUGAGCUCUACUCACUGAAAGUGCCCGGAUGAGUUCUCCACUCCUCCAUGAUGAUUGUCCAGAGGCACCUCCAACUCAACCACAGCCUACCCCCCCAUCCCAGCAAACCCCCCUCUAGCCUCAACUCCACACUCUCUGUUCCAUCUAGCCAUAAAGCCCUCUAGUUCUGCCUUCUACCUAGACUCCUGCUGGCACUCGGUACUCUACCAUAACCGCCAUCCUGAGCUGGACCGCCACGUCUCGCUCAUCUCCCUGCUUCCCCAUCUCCAGCUACACUUAUCUGUUUGAAUUCCAAGACCCAGGCAUGGCUGACCCUAGCUCCCUUCAGCACAAAGUCAAGGCCCUCAAGAGGGCUGCAGGCUCCAGCUCCAGGCUGUGGCUCACAGGACCACUCUGCCUCUCUUCCCUUCCUUUCUGUUCACAGUACUGUGUUCCUGAUGCCCCGUGGACACACCUCUGGUUCUUUCCCAUGCUGCCUCCCCUCCACGGCUCGCUGCUCACCGCCCUGCAGGGCUCCACUCCAAUCUACCUUGAGAAAGUGUUUCCUGGCCCCAGAUAUUGAAUACCAACCUCCCUCUACCCAUGGUUCUCGUUAAGUUUCUUUCCCUGCUCCAUUACAUAUACCCACGUCUUUUCUGCCAGCCACCCCGACAGAAUCUAUUACACUCAGGACCAUCUCCUCAUGGAAGAAGGCCCUGAAUACUUAUCAUCUGAAUGUACGCUUACUGACUUCUAUUUUUAAGAUAAAUUUAAUUUUUACUUUUAAGAGUGUGUGUGUGUGUGUGUGUGUGUGUGUGUGGGUAUGGGUAUGUGCAUACAGGAGCCUGUAGAGACCAGAAGAGGGCAUUGGAUCCCCUGGAUCUGGAGUUAUAGGCAGUUGUGGGCCGCCUGACACGGGUACUGAGAACAAGAACUUAGGUCUGCAUGCGCUCUUAGCCGCCGAGGCCUUUCUCCAGCCUCUCAUAGACGUCACCAUCCCCUUCUCUGCUCCUACUUCACAGACAGGCCGGGGCUCGGAGGGCGUGAGUACCAACUCAAGGCCAAGUGACAAGAGGUUCCGCUAGAAUGGGAAUGGAAGUCUCACUCUGCAGCCCAGCACGGUGGCUCCUUCACACCUGUGAUCCCAAUACUUGGAAGGCUGAGGGAGGAAGGCCUUGGCCAUGAGUUCAAGGCCAGGCUGGCCCGCAGAGUGAGACUGUCUCAGAAACGAAAACAAUGUACAGAGAUGCUGCAAGGCAGCUAAAAGCCCAGACUGCUGUAGAGGACGGAGACAUUUCUUCAAUAUUAAGUAGGCAUUUAAUAAACUACCACGGCUUCAUUCCCUCAGCCAGAGAGGGGACGCUCCCAUCCCUGGCCGCAGGCCACAGACGCCCAGCGGCUGAGGAAGACUAUGCUGCCAGCAACAGUGGAGAAGGCUGGAGACCUGCAGAAUCAGCAGAAGCUGGGAAGCAAGAGGCCAGUCACCUCCAUGAAGACAGAAGCCAAGGGUCAUGGGAACUAGAGAAGCCUGAGCAGGGUCCCCGUGGUGUCGGAGGAUGAAGAUGAGGGAAAGAGGAGACCAGCUGAGGGGCUGAGCAACUUCAGCGGCAGGGCACAUCGUCUGACUUGAAAGCAGUUCAGAAAACACUUAACGCAUGCUGACGCCAUAAAGCGAGGCCCCGGGCCUGAGCGCUGCAUUCUGGGAAGAGCCUCGCCUGGCUUCAGCACUGGUACUGAAAAUGCUUGAGCAUUUACCCGAGGAUUGCACAGACCGUUUAGCAUGGCAGUGACUUCAAGUGGCACCUGAAAGGGGGACAGGCGUCCAGACCACCCUCUGUCUGCUCCUACGGGGGCUUCUGCAGCCCUCUGUCCCAAGUGUCCCCGUCUGUCAUCUCAUUCCCAUCCGUACUGGCUUUGACAGAGGAGAGCACGUGGAGACCUGUGCUGCCCCACAGGCUGAGGCUCCUGUGUCCAGUCAGCCCUGAGGUCCAGGGAGGGAGUGACCUCUGUCCUGACUGGAACAGAGGAGAGAAGAGUGUUCUCUCAACCAGCUGCCACCUUCCUCCUCCCUUGGGCCAGUGUGUCCCCAGGGGCUGAAGCCAUGUCCUAGCAGUGAAGGCACCAAAGGACUUCACAGUUUGGAAGCUCAACUCUACCUUCUUCCUUCACGUACUUCCCAAACAAUCCAUGACAAUGAUAUAUAUAUUUUUAAGCCCAGUUUUUCAGAAGGCUAAACGAAGACAGCGAGGCACAGCCCCAAUGUCACAUAGGGGAGUGCCAGACCCUGCUGUCCCCGAGAAAGCUGGUGCAAUACUGGAUACAGAUCUGACGUCACCAACAUAGGGACAGGGCUGGUCCCCUGUGACGCAGACUCGGCUGUCAGUCGCAAGAGGAGGUGACGUGGGGAUGGAGUGUGCAAGGACCUGGGUCUGCUGACCUCACGAGCAAGGACAGUCCCUAGGGCAUCAGGGUUCCACGGGCAGAGAGGUAUUUUCUAGAUAAACAAGGGUGUAAGUGCCUAAGUACACUCUCAUUCAUCACUAAGGGGAGUAUAAAUUGUUUGCGCCUGUACAUGAGUCAAUUUGGCAAUAUUUAUCAACAUUAGAAAGGCACAAGGCUGGUGCCUCCAAAAGUUAAACACAGUGGUACCUGGCAAUUCCACUUCCGGGUGGGUAUCCAAAAGGCGUGAAGCAAAGAAUGGAACAGACACUCGGACCCCAGUGCUCAUGGUGACAUUAUUCACCACAGACAGAAGGAAAACCCAGAGGAUGCUCAACAGUACGCCAGCCAAAGGUCCUGAUGAUUUCUGUUGUUGUUGUUUUGCUUGUUUUUGUUUUUGUUUUUCAAGACAGGGUUUCUCUGUGUAGCUUUCGAGCCUUUCCAGGAACUCACUCUGUAGCCCAGGCUGGCCUUGAACUCACAGAGAUCCACUUGCCUCCGCCUCUGCUAAGAUUAAAGGUGUGUGCCCCCAUCACAGGGCAGGUCUUGAAGAUUUAACUGUGGUCUACGGCAGCAUCAUGCUGCCCUGGAAAGAAGGAAGUUCUGCACAUGCUACACAAAGAUGCUCCUUGAAGACUUUAUGCUAAUUCAUGAAACAAGCCAAAUGCCAAGAGGACAGUUACUCUGUGACUCUACUUCUGCGAUACCUACAAUAGGCAGCUUCACAGUCGCCUCUAGAGGCUGAGAGUGGGGCGGGGAUGAGGAGUCAGUGUUGAUGGGCUGAGUUCCUUUCUGUUUGGGGUGAUACAAUUCGCAACAACGUAAGUGGACUCGGCGCCACUGAACUGCACACUUAAAAAUGACCAGAAGUGGGGUGGGGCUGAGAAGACAGCUCACCUUGCCAGCGUGAUGGUCUGAGUUCUACCCACAAAGCCCACAUGAAAAAGCCACACGUGGUGGGACAUGCUUGUAAGCCCAACACUGGGGAGGCUGAGACACGCAGAUCCCUGAGGCUUCCUGACCAACUGGCCUAGCCCAGCCUAGUCCAGCCUAGUCGAGCCUAGCCCAGGCUAGCCCAGCCUAGCCAAAUUUCAAGCUCUGGGCCAGUAAGAGACCCUGUUUUUAAAAAGCAUGGGGGUAGGGAGGGGCAUGAUGACGACAGACAAUACUUGAGGUUUUUCUCCAACACACACACACACACACACACAUAAAUUCUAGCUCUCUAGAAGCAGUAAGAAACACCGAAGAUGCUAAGAUGUGAGGGACCAAAGCCUCAGAGGGAAGAGAAACACAUUUAGGGGAAGCUAGUACCCUCUGCCAUCUUUCCCUUGAGGCCAGGAACAGAGGCAGUGGUGAGAACAUCCCAAGGGUUGGAGAUAAAGAAGACACUAGACAGAUCCACAAGGCUGAGAUGCUGGAAUGCAGAGAGCUGGAGCACAAGCCUGACUUCCAGUAUUCUGUUCCGGAACCAGGGGUUGGGGGGGGGGGACCACAACACCCAAACAGAAGCUGCUAGAAAAGAGGACACAGAUAGAAGACCAUGUCUGCAGCAGCAGUUUCUCCAGCUAAGGAGCUCAAGUCCCACCCCCUAAGAGGAGGACCCGCCUCCUAAGAGCUAUAUGCACAUGUACAGGCACCCAUACAUACAUACAUACAAUACACACACACACACACACACACACACAUAUUCACUAAAAGUCCAGCUCUUACACAAUAUCUUUAUGAAAAAUUUAGAGGUGGGGGGAAAGCAAAGAUACCAGGACCCGAGCAAAAAGACAUGAGCACUUAACAAAUUCCCAGCCAGAUCCCAGAUGAAGUCAAUGACGGGGUGAGGUUUCUGUGGACUGCCAGGAACUUAGCUAGUGUUAAGAGAGAGUGAUACAGUGAAAAAUGUCUUAAAGAAAGACCGUACCAAAAGAGUAUGACAGCGCACGCCUAUAAUCCCAGCACUUGGGAGGCAAAGGCAGGAGGACCAGAAGUUCAAGGUCAUCCUUGGCUACGUCACAAGUUCAAGGCUAGCCUGGGCUAUGAGAGACUCUAUCUCAAAAACCAAACACGUAAUACUUCAAAACCAUCAAAAUUGAGUCCUGAAAGCUGUAUGUAUUAAGAGAUGUUUGUCUCAGGGGCCGCAGCAAAGCUGCUUUUAUCUGUAAAUGUUUAAGUUUGACUGUAUAAAUUAUGUGGCUUCGGGGACCUAAACUAGGCUGCAGAACUGGGUCACUGCCAUCUAAGGCCACACCAUCUACUUCCUCAGAUGCUCACACUGAAGAGUCUGCAUCUCUUCUUCUAUUUUCCUUUCAAGAAUUAGAAAACCAAAAGAAUUUGCACCUUAAUGUCUCAUGGAGUAACAUUCCUUAGAGGAAUUAUAAAUACCAUUGCUUCUGGCAUUUUCGGUGACAUGCUACAAAAUCAUGUCUUCUAAAUGAGUGCAAGGGCUGGCAGACUCUCUGGCAAAGCAGAGAAGAAAAGAUCCGAAAACGGUCAUGAGGUCAGCACAAAUACUCCUUCUGAAGCAUAGGGGGGAAAAUGAGUUAGAGUCGGGGCAGGGGGGGAGUCAGGAGUGACAGGUAGCACAUCCCUAUAAUCCCGGUGUUGGGGAGUGGGGCAGAGGCAGGAUUGUCACUAGUUCUAGGCCAGCCUGAGCUACACAGUGAGGCUCUGUAUUACAGAAAGGAAAGACACAAGGGGGGGGGGGACACCUUUAACCUCAGCAUUUAGGAGGCAAAAGCAGGUGGAUCUCUGUGAGUUCAAAGCCAGCCUGGUCUACAGAGUGAGCUCCAGGACAGGCAGAGCUGUUACACAGAGAAACUCUGUCUCAAAAAAAUAAAAAAUAAAAAAAUAAAUAAGUGAAGACAGGAAAACCUAUCACAUUAAAUGCAUAUUUGACAGCCUGAUGUGACACCUUUAAUUCCAGCACUCAGGAGGCAGAGGCAGGCAGAUCUCUGUGAGUUUAAGGCCUUCCUGGUCAACAUCGUGAAUCUCAAACUAUCCAGGUCUACAUAGAGACCGUCUCAAAAGAACAAACAAACAUAUUAAAAGUACAUUUUAGCAAAACAUGUCAAAGCUCAUUCUUCUAGGCUAUAUACCUAGACGACAACAAGGACAUAAAGUAAAUCAAAGGAAAAGAAGAAAAUUAUAAAGGAUUUUUGUUGGUUUUUUUUGUUUUGUUUGUUUUGGUUUGGUUUGGUUUGGUUUUUCAAGACAGGGUUUCUCUGUGUAGCCCUCGCCGUCCUGGAUCUCACUCUGUAGCCCAGGCUGGCCUCAAACUCAGAGAUCCACCUGCCUCUGCCUCCCAAGUGCUGCGAUUAAAGGCAUGUGCCACCACUGCCCAGCAGAUAAAGUUUUUAAAAAGCAUAAAUUAAUGAAUUAUAGACCAAUGUACAAAGAACAUAAAAAAAAAAUAGAAGGUGGCUCACUGCUCAGACUAAACCUGAGACUAUUACCUCAGCAAGGUGAAUGAAUGGGAAAAAAGAAAAAGAAGGCACACAUUAUCAAUAAGAAAACAAAAAUCAGUAUAACUCUCACAGACAAUAAGCAAGUCAAAAGAAAUGAGCACUGUGUCAACAAUUGGAAAA
This is a long non-coding RNA of Peromyscus californicus insignis, 15374 nucleotides long. RefSeq lists it as uncharacterized. NCBI's taxonomy places the organism in Eukaryota, Metazoa, Chordata, Mammalia, Rodentia, Cricetidae. The record is from RefSeq and is a predicted model, not a curated record. The transcript is spliced from 2 exons.